AUAAAAAAGAGAUGUCAGGGCCCAACCCCAGAUCAAUUAAACAGAAUUUCUGGGUGAAGCUAGAAAUCAGAUGUAACUGGCCGAGCACGGUGACUCACUCCUGUAAUCCCAGCACUUUGGGAGGUCCAGGCGGGCAGAUCACCCAAGGUCAGGAGUUCAAGACCAGCCUGGCCAAGGUGGUGAAAUCCCAACUUUACUAAAAACAUUUUAAAAAAUUAGCGAGGCCUGGUGGUGUGUGCCUAUAGUCCCAGCUACUCGGAGGCUGAGGCAUGAGAAUCACUUGAACUCGGGAGGCGAAGGUUUCAGUGAGCCGAGAUCACGCCACUGCACUCCAGCCUGGGUGAUAGAGCGAGACUCUGUCUCAAAAAUAAAGAAAAAUCAGUAGAUAUUUACCCAAAUUUAAUGGGAUUUCAUCUGGGUUUUCAAAGAGCUCCCUAGAUAAUUCUUAGAGGCAUCCAGAUUGAGAAGCACUAAUCCAGAGCAAAACAGAAGCAGCUAAGGGUGGACAUUUGAGAACACAAACAUUUAAGGUACUGACAGAGAGGUGAUAAAGAGCACAGAUGCUAAAGAACAGCAGAUAAAAGCAGCAAAGAGAAUUUCAUCAAAGGAGUGGACAAGCACAUCACAUGCCACGGAGAGGUGAAAGAAGAAUGGGAAGAAGCCUCUAGCUUUGGUAAAUAGAAGGUCAUUACAGAUCUCUGGGAACACAGUUUUAGUACUUGCAGAAGCCAAGUUGCAAUAGGCAAGGGGUAGAUUUUAGAUGAGGACCUGGAGGGAGAGAGUGUAGACUACUCUUUCAAGAAGUUUCGUGCAAUAGGUAGGAGAAAACAGCCAGUAACUUACAAUUAAAAAGGUGGAGAGAAAGUGUUGCUGGAUUUUAAUUUAGAGCAUAUGAGUUGACUAUGGGUAAGGAGAUAAAGAAGAGAGAACGAAGAUACACAGUAGAGAAGAAGUUAUUGGAAGAACAUGGCCCUGGAGCAGCC
Molecule: long non-coding RNA, 983 nt
Filed under: Homo sapiens (human)
Lineage: Eukaryota; Metazoa; Chordata; Mammalia; Primates; Hominidae
Description: HSALNT0212295
Source: RNAcentral